RNAcentral lists this ribosomal RNA (497 nucleotides) under uncultured bacterium. RNAcentral's name for it is "partial 16S ribosomal RNA". It matches the Rfam family "Bacterial small subunit ribosomal RNA", at positions 28 to 507 of the family's 1533-position model. The record is from RNAcentral.
GAUGAACGCUGGCGGCGUGCCUAAUACAUGCAAGUCGAGCGAACAGACGAGGAGCUUGCUUCUCUGAUGUUAGCGGCGGACGGGUGAGUAACACGUGGAUAACCUACCUAUAAGACUGGGAUAACUUCGGGAAACCGUAGCUAAUACCGGAUAAUAUUUUGAACCGCAUGGUUCAAUAGUGAAAGACGGUCUUGCUGUCACUUAUAGAUGGAUCCGCGCUGCAUUAGCUAGUUGGUAAGGUAACGGCUUACCAAGGCAACGAUGCGUAGCCGACCUGAGAGGGUGAUCGGCCACACUGGAAUUGAGACACGGUCCAGACUCCUACGGGAGGCAGCAGUAGGGAAUCUUCCGCAAUGGGCGAAAGCCUGACGGAGCAACGCCGCGUGAGUGAUGAAGGUCUUCGGAUCGUAAAACUCUGUUAUUAGGGAAGAACAUAUGUGUAAGUAACUGUGCACAUCUUGACGGUACCUAAUCAGAAAGCCACGGCUAACUACGUG